Molecule: long non-coding RNA, 2460 nt
Organism: Cygnus olor (mute swan)
Lineage: Eukaryota; Metazoa; Chordata; Aves; Anseriformes; Anatidae
Exons: 5
Source: RefSeq, a predicted model, not a curated record
UUUCUCUUUCUAUGCAAAAGCAGUUCUUGAAAAUACUGAAGGGAAGGAAAGCUCUAGACAACUUCUAUUUGCCCAUAACAUGUCUGCAAUCAGCAAUGGUAUCAAGAAGGUCAAGGCUUGAAGAUUGUUCUACACAUCAAACAAAAUAAGUUCAGAGCUGUGAUGGAGUAUCAGACAUAUAGACAGCUACAAAUCAAGCAGUACAGACAAUUUCUUAUUAUCACCAUUGAAGAGAAACAGACCUGAAAGUGUUCCCGCAGGUCAACUAAGCUGCUGGAGGAGUGCACUGAAAAGCUGAACCUGAACAUGGCUGCACAAUGAGUGUGCCUUGGCAGGCGACACUGAAGCGCUAGAACCUAAAGAUGUACCCCAUGAUGCUGACAUUUAUAUUUCAGUGGAAGAGACCUUUAUAGAUCCAUUCAAAAAAAAUUAAAGACCAUCUGUCAUUAAUGAGGAAAGUAACUUGGACAGUGAAUGGCCUGGUUCUUCAUAAUGGUGUCAAGAAAAAGAAAACCAAAUCUGUCAUUUCCAACUGCAUGUAAAAAAUUGUUGAGAAGAAAUCUGACAGAUGUAUAGUGUUUAAGAACUGCACAGGGCAGGAUAACUAUGUUGCAUCACCAAAUCAAAUUGAAAAGAUUUUAGGUGAUCGUACACUAAGAAUAUAUUAUUAUCUCACUGGAGAAUGGAAAGUCAACAUGUGUGGGGAAAACACUGGCAAUAUCAUAAAUGCUCCUCUGCUUGACAGAUGCCUGCAAAAUUCCAUCACACCUUUGCAUGGACCUGUUUGGGUCUUUAAGAGAGAAGGUUUCAGCCUCUCAGGAGCAAAGAUAAAUAUCCCAGGACUUCUAUUGGCCCUGCACCAAUGAUUAAAGUCUGCAAACUGUUGCAAACAGGUAAGUUGUCCCACUCUUUAAAAGUCUGCUUUUCUGUUUUCAUUUUGCAAUGUACUAAUUCUAUAAAAACAAUGAUUGGCACUUUGUCAUAAAGAAGUGUGACGUAUUGUAUAAGCUGCAUUACCUGUUAGGAAUAUGAAAUAUAUAAUCACAAAGCCAAACAAUAAAGGAGCUAAUCGUGUUUCUGUUUUUGGUAUGGGAUGUCGUAGAUUUCCCGUUUUCUUGCUGCUUACUGUGCUUAGCUGUGAUGCUCCUUAUGUAGUUGUUCUCUAAAGCAAUACUUUUUCAUAGCUUGUUCUGCACAUGCAGUUUUUAAUGGUCUGAUGGAUCUUCCCAUAAAACUAAUUUCAGUAAUUAUAUAGAUGAAACAUUUCUUUGAUAAAUAAUAUACAUAUAAAUAUAACUGGUGUUGCAUUAUGAAAAAAUUAAAUAACUAUAUAAUAUUUACAGCCCCCCACAUUUAAUUACUAUACAUGUACUGUUAAAUAAAUAAACCAGAAAUGCAUUUUAAUUUGAAAAAAAAAGUAGAAUACAGAUCGUGAAUAUAUUGUUUAACAGCAUGGGUGCAAUAGGAUGAUUUUUUUUCUAACCAAGUGUUUUAUUUUAGGAGAUAAAAGUAAAAGAAAACGAUGAUCUUGUUCAGGGUAGUUACUUAAGUUCCUUUUAUACAUGUAAGAAUGUAUACAUUUUUAAAGAUUAGGUGAGUUGUUUAUAAAAAAUAGUAGCCAUACAGAUUUUCCAGGAAAAAUACUAUAUAGAAAUUAAACAACCAGCUAGGAAACUAGGAUUUAAAAAUGAUCUCAGGCCACAGAGUUAAGAAUGGCUGUAUCAGAUAGAUCAUACUACCAGUCUAUGUAGGAAGGGGGAGGAGAGGUGCAAACGAAGUGUCAGUCACACUGUUUAUACAGCACCUCCUGCUGUCAGAUCCAUAAAGAGAAAUGAGAAUUGACUUUAGAAGAGACUAUUGCUGUCUAGAGUUAAUAGUGGUCAGCAAGAAGAAAUAAAAUAAUAAAAACAAGCAAACAAACAAAAAAACACCAACAAACCAAAACCAAAAAUGAGUGAGCAUGUGAAAAAGAAAAGCUUGUUUCAAACAGUACAGUGAUAUAUUAAAGACUGAGAAAUAUCUUUACACAUUUUAUUGAUAAUUCUUCACUUUUAAGACUAUGUUGCCUGUCAUAAAGGCCACAGAAAUUAGAUGUAUUAAUUUCCAGUGUCUUAACAUAUAUUUACUCAUCUAGGAAAUAUAUAUAAAAUGCUUACAAGUAUUUAGCAAGUAUAAUAGUAAUUAGUAGAAUAAAGCAGACAAUGGAGCUUUUAAAUGAAAAUUCAUAUGCAAGUCAUUUAUUGACUAGUUUUUGCUCUUCUCUGUGAAGAACAUAUAAAGACAUUUCAGUAAAUUAACUUAUGUUAAUCAUUCCUCUGGUGAUUAUGUGGCAGUAUUCAGUUGGAAAUUGUAAAUGACAAGAAAAAUAUAAUAAUUUUAGUAGAUUUGAAAUCUCUUCUGAAGGCAAAUGGUUCUUUUUAAUGAAAGGCUUGCAUAUAGACAUAUGUGCAUUAUAACAUU